Molecule: non-coding RNA, 90 nt
Organism: Mycena rosella
Lineage: Eukaryota; Fungi; Basidiomycota; Agaricomycetes; Agaricales; Mycenaceae
Source: the annotation of a GenBank genome assembly
GGCUCGGUGGUGGAUGGUCCACAUCUGCUCUGCAUAGGAGACGUGUGCCCGUAACAGCAGGAGGAGCCUGUUCGAAUCAGGCUCGAGCCA